This 497-nucleotide ribosomal RNA is filed under the name uncultured bacterium. RNAcentral's name for it is "partial 16S ribosomal RNA". It matches the Rfam family "Bacterial small subunit ribosomal RNA", at positions 28 to 507 of the family's 1533-position model. The record is from RNAcentral.
GAUGAACGCUGGCGGCGUGCCUAAUACAUGCAAGUCGAGCGAACGGACGAGAAGCUUGCUUUUCUGAUGUUAGCGGCGGACGGGUGAGUAACACGUGGAUAACCUACCUAUAAGACUGGGAUAACUUCGGGAAACCGGAGCUAAUACCGGAUAAUAUUUUGAACCGCAUGGUUCAAAAGUGAAAGACGGUCUUGCUGUCACUUAUAGAUGGAUCCGCGCUGCAUUAGCUAGUUGGUAAGGUAACGGCUUACCAAGGCAACGAUGCAUAGCCGACCUGAGAGGGUGAUCGGCCACACUGGAACUGAGACACGGUCCAGACUCCUACGGGAGGCAGCAGUAGGGAAUCUUCCGCAAUGGGCGAAAACCUGACGGAGCAACGCCGCGUGAGUGAUGAAGGUCUUCGGAUCGUAAAACUCUGUUAUUAGGGAAGAACAUAUGUGUAAGUAACUGUGCACAUCUUGACGGUACCUAAUCAGAAAGCCACGGCUAACUACGUG